GACGAACGCUGGCGGCGUGCUUAACACAUGCAAGUCGAACGGAAAGGCCCUGCUUUUGUGGGGUGCUCGAGUGGCGAACGGGUGAGUAACACGUGAGUAACCUGCCCUUGACUUUGGGAUAACUUCAGGAAACUGGGGCUAAUACCGGAUAGGAGCUCCUGCUGCAUGGUGGGGGUUGGAAAGUUUCGGCGGUUGGGGAUGGACUCGCGGCUUAUCAGCUUGUUGGUGGGGUAGUGGCUUACCAAGGCUUUGACGGGUAGCCGACCUGAGAGGGUGACCGGCCACAUUGGGACUGAGAUACGGCCCAGACUCCUACGGGAGGCAGCAGUGGGGAAUAUUGCACAAUGGGCGGAAGCCUGAUGCAGCAACGCCGCGUGCGGGAUGACGGCCUUCGGGUUGUAAACCACUUUCGCCUGUGACGAAGCGUGAGUGACGGUAAUGGGUAAAGAAGCACCGGCUAACUACGUG
RNAcentral lists this ribosomal RNA (468 nucleotides) under uncultured bacterium. RNAcentral describes it as "partial 16S ribosomal RNA". It matches the Rfam family "Bacterial small subunit ribosomal RNA", at positions 28 to 507 of the family's 1533-position model. The record is from RNAcentral.